RNAcentral lists this non-coding RNA (27 nucleotides) under Rattus norvegicus (Norway rat). The record is from RNAcentral. Lineage: Eukaryota; Metazoa; Chordata; Mammalia; Rodentia; Muridae.
GGAGAAUUAGGAAUAAGAAUAUGGUCA